ACUGAAAUGGGUCUACAAGACAAAGUACAAAGAAGAUGGAACAAUUCAAAAGCAUAAAGCUCGACUAGUGGCGAAAGGAUACUCACAACAGCCAGGAGUCGACUUCACAGAGACAUUCGCGCCAGUUGCUCGAAUGGAGACAGUCAGGACAGUUCUUGCACUAGCUGCUCAAAUGGAGACACCAGUUUAUCAGCUAGAUGUCAAAUCAGCUUUUCUAACUGGAGAAUUACAAGAAGAAGUAUAUGUGGAGCAACCUCUGGGUUAUAUUGUCAAAGGAAGCGAGAACAAAGUCUUGCGGCUAAAAAAGGCACUGUAUGGAUUAAAACAAGUACCACGAGCCUGAAACAGCAAAAUUGAUUCCUAUUUUCAAAAAAAUGGAUUUCAACGCAGCCCGAGCGAGCCUUCCUUGUACGUCAAAAGAGAAGGUACGCAUGAUAUUCUAAUCGUCUGCUUAUAUGUUGAUGAUUUGAUAUAUUGUGGCACUAACCCAAAGAUGGUAGAAGAAUUCAAAAGUUCCAUGAUGAAAGAAUACGAGAUGACAGAUCUUGGUCUUAUGAAGUAUUUUCUUGGCAUCCAAAUUCAACAAGCAAAAGGAGAAAUAUUUAUUUCUCAAGAAAAAUAUUUAAAUGAUCUUCUUAAGCGGUUUGGCAUGAAUGAUUGCAAACCGAUAUCAACGCCAAUGGCAUUAAAUGAGAAGCUAAGCAAAGAAGAUGACUCAGAAAAAGUUGAUGCUACAAAGUAUAGAAGCUUAGUUGGAUGCCUUAUUUAUCUGACAAAUACGAGGCCAGAUAUUGUCUUUGCUGUCAGUUAUGUAUCAAGAUUUAUGCAUGAGCCAAGUAAGAAUCACUAUACAGCAGCAAAGAGAAUUCUUCGCUACCUACAAGGCACAAGAAAGCUUGGAAUUAAAUAUACAAAGGAGGCAGGUGACAAACUCAUGGGGUACAGCGAUAGUGAUUGGGCAGGCUCGGUGGAUGAUCGUAAAAGCACUUCUGGAUAUUUAUUCUGC
RNAcentral lists this long non-coding RNA (1006 nucleotides) under Nicotiana benthamiana. Its description in RNAcentral is "long non-coding RNA (NBEN_LNC026181)". Lineage: Eukaryota; Viridiplantae; Streptophyta; Magnoliopsida; Solanales; Solanaceae. The record is from RNAcentral.